GUGCUCACUUUAGCACAUAUGCUAAAAUUGGAACAAAUCAGAGAAGAAUCGCAUGGGCUCUGCACAAGGAUGACACGCAAAUUCUUAAAGCACUCCAUAUUAAA
Molecule: small nuclear RNA, 104 nt
Organism: Manis javanica (Malayan pangolin)
Lineage: Eukaryota; Metazoa; Chordata; Mammalia; Pholidota; Manidae
Source: RefSeq, a predicted model, not a curated record